Molecule: unclassified non-coding RNA, 223 nt
Filed under: Hevea brasiliensis (rubber tree)
Lineage: Eukaryota; Viridiplantae; Streptophyta; Magnoliopsida; Malpighiales; Euphorbiaceae
Source: RNAcentral
UGAAAAAGGACCCAGAUGGCAAGAUUUUGAAGCACAAAGCCAGAUUAGUGGCAAAGGGCUAUGUGCAGAAACAAGGCAUAGACUACAACGAAGUGUUUGCACCAGUCGCAAGAUUGGAAACUAUAAGGGUCUUAUUGGCAAUUGCGGCACAAAAGGAUUGGGAGGUUCAUCAUAUGGACGUGAAAACAGCGUUCUUAAAUGGUGAAUUGGAAGAAGAUGUUUA